AGAGCGGGCAAUUACACCAACGUCGAUGACAUCUUACUAUGCAAUACUUGGUUGCAAGUGUCGAGGGAUCCAUCCGUUGGAGGUGAUCAAAGUAGAGAUGCUUAUUGGGGGCGGAUGAAAGAACACUUUGAUGUUCACAACUUGAGUGGAAUUGACCGCUCCGAGAGAUCACUUCGGUCCCGAUGGUCGACAAUCAACUCGGAUUGUCAAAGGUGGGCGGCCUGUCAAAAGGCGGUUGACAAGUUGAACCCAAGUGGCACAAAUGAGGACGAUAGAGUAAGUGAAGAGGAGAGGACAACCAAGAAGGGAAAGAUCAAGAAAGGAAGGGUCUUUACCUUGCCCCAUUGCUAUAACGUGUUGAAGGAUGAUGAGAAAUGGAAGAAGCGUGAAGAUUUGGAUGAUUUGCAUUUGAGCAACAAACGCAAGCGAACAAUUAAGUUGGAUGAUGAUGAUGAGGAGGAUGAUGCAUCAAGUGAUGACGGCAAGAGAAGCCCCACACCCAACUCGGUUUCAUACUCGAAGCCAAAGCGACCGGAUGGGUGCAAGAAAUACAAAACCGAAAAGAAGAAGAGGAAAGGAGAUGAUGAGCUCAAAAAUGCUAUGGAAGCUAUUGUGAAGGCAAGAAAAGAAGCCAACGAGGUGAGGAAAAUGGCAAGGAACCAAGAUGCCGCGGCCGAGGAGAGGAGGUUGGCGGCCGAGGAGAGGAAGGUGGCUUUGGAGGAGAGGAAGGUGAGCAAUGAGGAGCGAACUAGAUUGUUGGAAUGGGAGAAGCACUUGUUCUUCUUGGACACAUCUAACCUCAAUGCGGCGCAAAAGGAGUAUGUCAAUCUUGCCCGUGAAGAAGUCUUG
Molecule: ribosomal RNA, 849 nt
Filed under: Triticum aestivum (bread wheat)
Lineage: Eukaryota; Viridiplantae; Streptophyta; Magnoliopsida; Poales; Poaceae
Description: partial small subunit ribosomal RNA
Source: RNAcentral